CAGGAUGUAGUUCAGCUUGGUAGAAUGCUUGAAUGGGGUUCAAGAGGUCAAGGGUUCAAAUCCCUUCAUCCUGACCA
This 77-nucleotide transfer RNA is filed under the name Erysipelotrichaceae bacterium. RNAcentral describes it as "tRNA-Pro". It matches the Rfam family "tRNA". Rfam says of the family: Transfer RNA (tRNA) molecules are approximately 80 nucleotides in length. Their secondary structure includes four short double-helical elements and three loops (D, anti-codon, and T loops). Lineage: Bacteria; Bacillati; Bacillota; Erysipelotrichia; Erysipelotrichales; Erysipelotrichaceae. The record is from RNAcentral.